UGUGCUGAGGGUUUGAAUGAUGAUGUAAUAACGGGAUGGAGUAUCCGAACUUAGACUGCCAGACUUUGUUUUCUGUGCUCCGGCGUUUUCCGUUUGUAGGUCGCUUAGUACUAAGGCGUUUCUCGCAGUGCUACAAUCAGUACGAGGACUUUGUUCUGCGUCCCCAGAGGGCGCUUAGCGUAACAUGCACUCAUCACAUCUCAAGCAGCGUAAAACUGUCGUCGACUUACAGAGGAGGAGAGACAUGCUUCUGCGCUUUUCACGACGGUGAGCGAAGGGGGCCGUUUGAUAGUAUUGGCAGUGAUUGUGUGUAUGUUAACAUCAAAGGAAGUCGUGUUGAUUCCUACGGUGUUCACCUUGAAUCUCGUGAUGACGUGAAUUUCUGGUUGGACGUCAAUGAUCGUUUCAAAACUUUCUUCGUCUCCGCGCUGUUCUCUGAUGAAUGGGAGGCAUGGACACAGCUGGCAGGAAGUGCAUGCGCUGGUAUUAGGUACAGCACAUAUCUUAAUUCAAGAACAUAUCUUUCCUGUGGCAUCCAGUCAUCUCGCAAAGAGGUUUCUGCUGCUCUGUCCGUUUUUCACAAGCUUCAUGAAAGGGUUUUUGGUUUUUUCAACGUAGUCGUGUCUGCCACUGCGCUGCAGCCGUUUUUCGUUUGCCAGAAGAGCUUCUCUUGGAUAUCUCUGCGCUACAUUCAAGACUUGCGCAGCUGCGCUUGCGAGGUUUUUUUUGAGAGAAGAGGUGUUUUAUUAGGGUUUCGUGUUCAAAAAUGCUCGUCAGGUGUUCGGAGGAUGUUUGCAUUUGAAUGGUGAGGUGUCGCGCGAUUUCGCUUCUGCUCAGGAAGUGUGGGCAUGCGUGUGGCACCAGUGUUGUCCUUUUUUUUUGCUCCAUAUAUUUUUGGCUGGUGAUGAAGAACGGGCUUGUUUGUAGGGAGCAAACGCUCUCUGAGUUGCGGUAUGAUGUUGUUUUCAGACUUUCCGAGGGCUUGAUCGGCAAGGUGUUUUCGGCUACUUCAAGAAAAGAGAACUACCCCACUCUUUUUCGCAUGCGGUGACAAUUUUUUUUUUGGCUUGUGCUCUUUUCUUUAUUUUUGUUUCUGCAGUCAGUUAUUAUCUUUCUUGGGCGUGCUAUAUAUCGAACUCUUCGAUCCUGAUCUGUAAUACAGACAAAGCGCCCUGUGCGCAGUGAGCGUACUCAGAGCGUUUUUAUCGUUCUCAUCUGUAAAGUAAUGCAGUGUCCCCUUGCGUUCUUUCUUCGAAUUAUCCAGCUCUG
RNAcentral lists this unclassified non-coding RNA (1269 nucleotides) under Leishmania donovani. RNAcentral's name for it is "gene:unknown". The record is from RNAcentral. Lineage: Eukaryota; Euglenozoa; Kinetoplastea; Trypanosomatida; Trypanosomatidae.